Molecule: long non-coding RNA, 1050 nt
Organism: Ailuropoda melanoleuca (giant panda)
Lineage: Eukaryota; Metazoa; Chordata; Mammalia; Carnivora; Ursidae
Exons: 3
Source: RefSeq, a predicted model, not a curated record
AUGAAUUAUGCACCGAAGAAGGAGGUGGAGAAGAAAUCUCAGUUUCAAGGGUGGGGGUGAGGAGAGGAGAAAGAAAGUGUGAGCGGAGGGGGGAGUUCCUGCAGAGCAGUGCUCUCCUCUACCCCCAUCCCAGCAGCAGAAGAGGAGCCCUGGUGGGAAAUAGGGGUGGGGGUGCCAGUGCGGUACCCAGCAGGCUGGCUGAAAGAAGCCUCUUUCUGGUAUUUAUAGAGCUUGCAUCGCCAUGGUACCCAGGCUCUGAAAUAAAACUCCAGCCCAACUGCUUAGAGACGGGUGGAAUGAAAGGCUCUUUACCUGUCCAUUGCUCGCGGUUUGAUACCUCAUUCUCUGAAUUUUAGAUGAGCAGUCCCCCUGAAUUUUGUAAGAGAGCAGCAAGAAGAGGAUUGUUUCCACGAGGUGAAUCCAAGCUAGGAGGUGGUCACCCUGAAAUCCUGCAAGGUUCUCUGACCCCAUGGCUUCCUGCACUGCCCUUGACACCUGAUCCAGGCUGAACAGAGACCUUUCUCACCAGCCCUGAUUACUCAGCCACGAGUUCUAUAUCCAUCAAAUCAGGAUGAAGAAGCCAAGUGCAAUGAUCCAUGAGUGUAUCCUGGAGGACUUAAAGCUACAAAGGACAUCCUUGGGACAGUUGGGUAACUGUGAACCUGGACUGUAUUUUAGACAAUAGUAUGUCAGUGUUGAGUAUCUCACGAGUGGUCGCGGUACUAUAGUUAUGUCGGAGGGUAACCCUUGUUCUCCGGGGCAGAGAUGGGAGCAUUUAGGGUGGAGUGUCAUGAGGUCUACAGCUUACUUUCAAAUGAUUUGGCACCAUUUGAGCAUUUCAGAGGGAGGGAGGGAAGGAGAGAGAACACAAACAUGGCAAAAAAUGUUCAUCGAUAAAUAAUAUUGAAGGUAUGGAAUUUUAUAUUUUCUUCAACUUUCCUCUCACUUAGCACAGCAUUUGGCAUGGAAUACACCUCAAUAAAUGUUGGCUGAACUGCAAGAACAACUACUAGUUGCCUAAAAGUGUGCCCUGAGUUGCUUAAGAUGAUC